CCUACGGGAGGCAGCAGUGGGGAAUAUUGGACAAUGGGGGGAACCCUGAUCCAGCCAUGCCGCGUGUGUGAAGAAGGCCCUCGGGUUGUAAAGCACUUUCAGUGAGGAAGAACGCCUGGUGGUUAAUACCCAUCAGGAAAGACAUCACUCACAGAAGAAGCACCGGCUAACUCUGUGCCAGCAGCCGCGGUAAUACGGAGGGUGCGAGCGUUAAUCGGAAUUACUGGGCGUAAAGCGCGCGUAGGUGGCUUGAUAAGCCGGUUGUGAAAGCCCCGGGCUCAACCUGGGAACGGCAUCCGGAACUGUCAAGCUAGAGUGCAGGAGAGGAAGGUAGAAUUCCCGGUGUAGCGGUGAAAUGCGUAGAGAUCGGGAGGAAUACCAGUGGCGAAGGCGGCCUUCUGGACUGACACUGACACUGAGGUGCGAAAGCGUGGGUAGCAAACAGGAUUAGAUACCCGAGUAGUC
RNAcentral lists this ribosomal RNA (465 nucleotides) under Vreelandella stevensii. RNAcentral's name for it is "partial 16S ribosomal RNA". It matches the Rfam family "Bacterial small subunit ribosomal RNA", at positions 338 to 795 of the family's 1533-position model. Lineage: Bacteria; Pseudomonadati; Pseudomonadota; Gammaproteobacteria; Oceanospirillales; Halomonadaceae. The record is from RNAcentral.